UACGUAGGGCGCAAGCGUUGUCCGGAAUUAUUGGGCGUAAAGAGCUCGUAGGCGGUCUGUUACGUCCGCUGUGAAAACCCAGGGCUUAACCCUGGGCUUGCAGUGGAUACGGGCAGACUAGAGGCAGGUAGGGGAGAAUGGAAUUCCCGGUGUAGCGGUGAAAUGCGCAGAUAUCGGGAGGAACACCGGUGGCGAAGGCGGUUCUCUGGGCCUGACCUGACGCUGAGGAGCAAAAGCGUGGGGAGCGAACAGG
This 253-nucleotide ribosomal RNA is filed under the name uncultured bacterium. Its description in RNAcentral is "partial 16S ribosomal RNA". It matches the Rfam family "Bacterial small subunit ribosomal RNA", at positions 524 to 776 of the family's 1533-position model. The record is from RNAcentral.